RNAcentral lists this ribosomal RNA (508 nucleotides) under Cytobacillus firmus. RNAcentral describes it as "bacterial SSU rRNA". It matches the Rfam family "Bacterial small subunit ribosomal RNA", at positions 37 to 529 of the family's 1533-position model. Lineage: Bacteria; Bacillati; Bacillota; Bacilli; Caryophanales; Bacillaceae. The record is from RNAcentral.
UGGCGGCGUGCCUAAUACAUGCAAGUCGAGCGGACAGAUGGGAGCUUGCUCCCUGAAGUCAGCGGCGGACGGGUGAGUAACACGUGGGCAACCUGCCUGUAAGACUGGGAUAACUCCGGGAAACCGGGGCUAAUACCGGAUAAUUCUUUCCCUCACAUGAGGGAAAGCUGAAAGAUGGUUUCGGCUAUCACUUACAGAUGGGCCCGCGGCGCAUUAGCUAGUUGGUGAGGUAACGGCUCACCAAGGCAACGAUGCGUAGCCGACCUGAGAGGGUGAUCGGCCACACUGGGACUGAGACACGGCCCAGACUCCUACGGGAGGCAGCAGUAGGGAAUCUUCCGCAAUGGACGAAAGUCUGACGGAGCAACGCCGCGUGAGUGAUGAAGGUUUUCGGAUCGUAAAACUCUGUUGUUAGGGAAGAACAAGUACCGGAGUAACUGCCGGUACCUUGACGGUACCUAACCAGAAAGCCACGGCUAACUACGUGCCAGCAGCCGGGUUCAAUUUA